GAAUGACCACCAACUAGGCCAGCAUGACAUUCAUUCAACACUUUGUCUCUCCAAGAGUGAAUCAAAGGUACGGCCUCCAUUGUUGGACCGCAAACACCACUGCCAUCAUCUCCUUGUCAUACACGGACAAAGCUCGAUGCUUUGGAGCUAACACUUUGCUUAAGAAAGCAAUGGGAUGAUUAUGUUGAGAUAGUAUGGCUCCAAUUCCCAAAUCAGAGGCAUCACAUUCAAUGGUGAAGUCUUUAGUAAAGUUAGGGAGGGCCAGAACUGGGGUUGUAGUCAUAGCUACUUUAAGAUCUUCAAAAGCUUUCUCACUUGCAGGAGACCAUUUGAAC
This is a long non-coding RNA of Rosa chinensis, 335 nucleotides long. RefSeq lists it as uncharacterized. The record is from RefSeq and is a predicted model, not a curated record. NCBI's taxonomy places the organism in Eukaryota, Viridiplantae, Streptophyta, Magnoliopsida, Rosales, Rosaceae. The transcript has 2 exons.